AGAACGAACGCUGGCGGCAUGCCUAACACAUGCAAGUCGAACGCUUUUGGGGCUUCGGUCCCAAAGGAGUGGCGCACGGGUGAGUAGCGCGUGGGAACCUGCCCUGUUGUGGGGGAUAACCGAGGGAAACUUCGGCUAAUACCGCAUACGCCCGGGGGAAACUCCGGGGAAAGAUUUAUCGCAGCAGGAGGGGCCCGCGUCGGAUUAGGUAGUUGGUGGGGUAACGGCCCACCAAGCCUGUGAUCCGUAGCUGGUCUGAGAGGAUGAUCAGCCACACUGGGACUGAGACACGGCCCAGACUCCUACGGGAGGCAGCAGUGGGGAAUAUUGGACAAUGGGCGCAAGCCUGAUCCGGCAAUGCCGCGUGAGUGAUGAAGGCCUUCGGGUUGUAAAGCUCUUUCGCACGCGACGAUGAUGACGGUAGCGUGAGAAGAGCCCCGGCUAACUUCGUGCCAGCAGCCGC
RNAcentral lists this ribosomal RNA (463 nucleotides) under uncultured bacterium. RNAcentral's name for it is "SSU rRNA". It matches the Rfam family "Bacterial small subunit ribosomal RNA", at positions 26 to 518 of the family's 1533-position model. The record is from RNAcentral.